Zootoca vivipara (common lizard) is the source of this 354-nucleotide non-coding RNA. The record is from RefSeq and is a predicted model, not a curated record. Lineage: Eukaryota; Metazoa; Chordata; Lepidosauria; Squamata; Lacertidae.
UUAUGAAAAAUGUACCCCAAAAUGCGUUGCCUUUUAAGAAGGACAGACGCGGGUCGGAAGCUCCAAAAUUUGCACUAAGUUCAGCUCCGCCGGGAAAAUGACAGAGACCACACAAUGCUGUCAGGAAAAACAAACUGAUCCCUUUAUUGCAGAAUGCAAAACUACAGCUGUAGGGUCCCUGCCUCUGGAAAGAAGGAAGGAACCCCGGGAAAUGGUGGGCAAUCCUUCGAGAUGGGCGCAGGAGUGGAGCGAUUUCCUGACGAUUUCCAUGAGGUAAUUUUGGCAGGUGUUUUCCUUGAGGCCGCGGAAAGAUGGACUAUGGCAUGUUUAAUUUGAAUAAAGUUGUCAAGCUAA